GUCCCAAUGGCUUCUUGAGAAAUCAAGUCGGUGGAAGGCUGGUUAAACCGUUUGGUUUUCGACCACUAGGACCCGGGUUCGAUUCCCGCAUUGGACA
This 97-nucleotide transfer RNA is filed under the name Cordylochernes scorpioides. RNAcentral describes it as "tRNA-Glu". The record is from RNAcentral. Lineage: Eukaryota; Metazoa; Arthropoda; Arachnida; Pseudoscorpiones; Chernetidae.